GAGACCCGUGCCCACUGUUACCAGCAUAUCCUCCGGGAUGAUGGGUACUCUGUGGGGACCGCCGGUGUUAAAUCGGAGGAAGGUGCGGGCCACGGUAGGUCAGUAUGCCCCGAAUUUCCCGGGCUACACGCGGGCUACAAUGAAUGGGACAAUGGGUCCCUCCCCUGAAAAGGGCUGGUAAUCUCACAAACCCAUCCGUAGUUCGGAUCGAGGGCUGUAACUCGCCCUCGUGAAGCUGGAAUCCGUAGUAAUCGCGUUUCAAUAUAGCGCGGUGAAUAC
RNAcentral lists this ribosomal RNA (279 nucleotides) under uncultured methanogenic archaeon. Its description in RNAcentral is "partial 16S rRNA". It matches the Rfam family "Archaeal small subunit ribosomal RNA", at positions 1047 to 1325 of the family's 1478-position model. The record is from RNAcentral. Lineage: Archaea; Methanobacteriati; Methanobacteriota.